UCUCCAGGCUGAGAGGAUCACCGCUCCUGGUUCAUUUUAAACGGCUUCAACGAAACAUCCACCGCAAAACUAACUGCUCAGUUUAAUAAAAGGAAAAUAGAUCAAGAUGAAAGCGGGAAGUUUUUCGUUGAGUAACGAAGAAACGAAUAUUUAGGAGGAAGUUCAGAUCCAGUAGUUUUUCCGCUUUAGUCUGUUUUUCUUUCUUCUCAUGCAGGAAUCACGCUGUUUGCUUCGUUUUCGUUAAAAACCGCAAAGCAACCAGUGAUUAUGCAAUGCUUCCUGACUGAAAGAUGCAUUCAAUGAUGGCUGAAUGCCGCCGGAGGAACUUCCUGUUUCCAUGAUGUCAGCGCAGGAAGCCAGAGGCACCUGCCUGUCAGAGAUCCUGUUUUCAGUCCUAAAUCAUCUGGAAAACUCUGGAAAUGGUUUGAAUAAGUAUUUCUAAUAAGAUGAAAAUGAAAAUGAUGUAGGGAAAAUAUGACUAAUGAUUCUAUUUAAGCCUUUUAUGUUUAAAGUAAAAAAAAAAAACUAUAAAAAGGUAUUAAUGUUUAUGAAACAUGUUUAGAUAUUUUUAACAACCAAACAGAAAACCCACAGAUGAUUUAUCUCAUUAAAAUAAAUAACCUAUUUCGGACGUUUUAAAGCGUCUAGUUUUAUGGAUCUUAAAGCAGAUCUCGCCUCUUUUUUUAGCGUUUUCGGUCAAAAAUGAUUUAGUUGAAAGGAAGUUUUCUUUAUGUUCUGAUCUCCAUUGCUGCAGUGGGAGGAUGUCAGCAAAUCUCACUAGAUCUGCAUGUUAUAUACGCACUCAUAAACUCAGGUGAUUCAAAGUGAAACAUUAACAUCUUUACAUCAUUAGUUUCACCUGUUUGGUCCCAGUUGGACGUCUGAGGUCCGAAUGCAGGAGAAAUGAAGAACAGGAAGUAAAUGUUGCUUCUGAUUUCUGAAGGUGUCAUCAUGGAGUGUCCUUCCUUCCCCACCGCCGGGUCUGACAGGCUGACUCCAGCUGAGCAAAUCAAACCUGGUGGGAUUAGAUCCUCCUGGCAGUAUUGAGUGAGGGUAGCUCUUCUGAAGCUAAAGGAGGCAGAUCUAGAAUAUCACUUUCUACUGCUGUUUAUUGGCUCUGUGAGAAAUGGAGGAAUGGGAGUGGCUCAGAGUCUUCCUGUUUAAAAGAAAUUAAUGUGGUGACAUCGCUUUGAUGAAAGGACUGGAGAACGGUCUGCAGAUUCCUGCCUCCCGGAGAAGCUGCAGAGACCCAACCUAAAGUCAGCCGUUACAUCUAUCCGUUCCACUUUGAACUCUACAUGCGUGUCACAUUGAAGUUUAAAAAAUGUUUUAUUCUAACUUUGGGUCUCGUUCAUAGCUGCACCCUAACGUAUAGACUGUUCUCUGUCCUAAAAACUAUUCAUCAAAGUAAGGGUAGAGAUCAACUUUGCAUCGAGCUGCUGGACUAAAAAUGACUGGUCUGGAUUAUUUGUUUACCUAUAAAAUGUGUCUGAAAGAAACAGGACCGGGGACAUUAACCCUUUGCAUGACUUCAUUUCAAACCCAAAAGUGUAAAGACCCUCCUGAUGUUCAGUUAUCUGAAUGUGAGAUGUUGAUGUACAUUAAAUUAAUGUCAUUAAAAUUCCAGUUUGUUUGCUUAAAUUUGCAUCUUUUCUAAGCAACAGGGUUUUGUUUUGCUACUGUAUAAAGCCUGGAACUCAACGCUAUUUCUGACAUUUUGAACUGAAAAAGCUUCCUGGAUGGAAGAGAAACGUCUUCAAAGUUGGAAACUUUUGGAAUGACUUGAGUGUUUUGGGCACUGAGUGCCAUAUAAAGGGUUAACCCCUUGGAGGAAAUUUUGUCUUAUCUGCUCAUAUAAGGGAAAAUUCACUUUUUUAGGAAAAAUUAUUUUUUUUAAGGUCAUCAUUGGAACAGAUGCUCUAAGCCAGGGGUGGGAAAUUGCAGUUCCUGGGGGCCAUUCUCCUGCAACUUUUAGAUGUACCCUUGGUUCAACACACCUGAAUCAUGUUAUUAGAUGCUAGAGGGGACUCUGGAGGAACUGACUGCAUCCUGAGAAGGAAACUCAUUGAUUCAGGUGUGUUGGACCAAGGAGGGCUCCUAAAUGUGCAGGAUACCGGUGCCCAGGAACUGGAAUUGCCCAUCCCUGCUCUAAACAGUUGAAUGGGAUUAUUUAUUUCUUAACAACCAACUGGUGCUGUCAACUAGUUUGAUGAAACUUUGUUCUUUAGCUGCAAAAAUAAAUAAAAUC
Cyprinodon variegatus (sheepshead minnow) is the source of this 2248-nucleotide long non-coding RNA. RefSeq lists it as uncharacterized. Lineage: Eukaryota; Metazoa; Chordata; Actinopteri; Cyprinodontiformes; Cyprinodontidae. The transcript has 5 exons. The record is from RefSeq and is a predicted model, not a curated record.